Molecule: ribosomal RNA, 1117 nt
Filed under: Lactiplantibacillus plantarum
Lineage: Bacteria; Bacillati; Bacillota; Bacilli; Lactobacillales; Lactobacillaceae
Description: bacterial SSU rRNA
Rfam family: Bacterial small subunit ribosomal RNA
Source: RNAcentral
UAAUGCAGUCGAACGAACUCUGGUAUUGAUUGGUGCUUGCAUCAUGAUUUACAUUUGAGUGAGUGGCGAACUGGUGAGUAACACGUGGGAAACCUGCCCAGAAGCGGGGGAUAACACCUGGAAACAGAUGCUAAUACCGCAUAACAACUUGGACCGCAUGGUCCGAGUUUGAAAGAUGGCUUCGGCUAUCACUUUUGGAUGGUCCCGCGGCGUAUUAGCUAGAUGGUGGGGUAACGGCUCACCAUGGCAAUGAUACGUAGCCGACCUGAGAGGGUAAUCGGCCACAUUGGGACUGAGACACGGCCCAAACUCCUACGGGAGGCAGCAGUAGGGAAUCUUCCACAAUGGACGAAAGUCUGAUGGAGCAACGCCGCGUGAGUGAAGAAGGGUUUCGGCUCGUAAAACUCUGUUGUUAAAGAAGAACAUAUCUGAGAGUAACUGUUCAGGUAUUGACGGUAUUUAACCAGAAAGCCACGGCUAACUACGUGCCAGCAGCCGCGGUAAUACGUAGGUGGCAAGCGUUGUCCGGAUUUAUUGGGCGUAAAGCGAGCGCAGGCGGUUUUUUAAGUCUGAUGUGAAAGCCUUCGGCUCAACCGAAGAAGUGCAUCGGAAACUGGGAAACUUGAGUGCAGAAGAGGACAGUGGAACUCCAUGUGUAGCGGUGAAAUGCGUAGAUAUAUGGAAGAACACCAGUGGCGAAGGCGGCUGUCUGGUCUGUAACUGACGCUGAGGCUCGAAAGUAUGGGUAGCAAACAGGAUUAGAUACCCUGGUAGUCCAUACCGUAAACGAUGAAUGCUAAGUGUUGGAGGGUUUCCGCCCUUCAGUGCUGCAGCUAACGCAUUAAGCAUUCCGCCUGGGGAGUACGGCCGCAAGGCUGAAACUCAAAGGAAUUGACGGGGGCCCGCACAAGCGGUGGAGCAUGUGGUUUAAUUCGAAGCUACGCGAAGAACCUUACCAGGUCUUGACAUACUAUGCAAAUCUAAGAGAUUAGACGUUCCCUUCGGGGACAUGGAUACAGGUGGUGCAUGGUUGUCGUCAGCUCGUGUCGUGAGAUGUUGGGUUAAGUCCCGCAACGAGCGCAACCCUUAUUAUCAGUUGCCAGCAUUAAGUUGGGCA